UGAGGCUCAGUGCUUGCUUUGGCAGCACAUAAAUGAUACAGAGAGGAUGAGCAGGACCCCUGCGCAAGGACGGCACGCAAACUUGUGAGGCGUUUGAUAUUUUU
Molecule: small nuclear RNA, 104 nt
Organism: Cervus hanglu yarkandensis (Yarkand deer)
Lineage: Eukaryota; Metazoa; Chordata; Mammalia; Artiodactyla; Cervidae
Source: Ensembl